Molecule: ribosomal RNA, 491 nt
Filed under: uncultured bacterium
Lineage: Bacteria
Description: bacterial SSU rRNA
Rfam family: Bacterial small subunit ribosomal RNA
Source: RNAcentral
GACGAACGCUGGCGGCGUGCCUAAUACAUGCAAGUCGAACGCACUCUCGUUUAGAUUGAAGGAGCUUGCUCCUGAUUGAUAAACAUUUGAGUGAGUGGCGGACGGGUGAGUAACACGUGGGUAACCUGCCCUAAAGUGGGGGAUAACAUUUGGAAACAGAUGCUAAUACCGCAUAAAACCUAACACCGCAUGGUGUAGGGUUGAAAGAUGGUUUCGGCUAUCACUUUAGGAUGGACCCGCGGUGCAUUAGUUAGUUGGUGAGGUAAAGGCUCACCAAGACCGUGAUGCAUAGCCGACCUGAGAGGGUAAUCGGCCACACUGGGACUGAGACACGGCCCAGACUCCUACGGGAGGCAGCAGUAGGGAAUCUUCCACAAUGGACGAAAGUCUGAUGGAGCAACGCCGCGUGAGUGAAGAAGGUUUCGGAUCGUAAAACUCUGUUGUUGGAGAAGAAUGUAUUUAGAUAGUAACUGAUCAGGUAGUGACGGUAU